UGGUGGAGUGAUCUUUCUGGUUAGUUCUGUUAACGAUUCAGACCUAAACCUGCUAAAUAGUCUCACCUGACUCUGCGUUAACUUCUUGGAGGGACGUUGCGUGUCUAAUACAGGGAAGUUUGAGGCGAUGCCG
This 133-nucleotide ribosomal RNA is filed under the name uncultured eukaryote. RNAcentral describes it as "partial 18S ribosomal RNA". It matches the Rfam family "Eukaryotic small subunit ribosomal RNA", at positions 1299 to 1454 of the family's 1831-position model. The record is from RNAcentral.